GCGGUUUGUCGCGUCUGCUGUGAAAGCCCGGGGCUCAACUCCGGGUGUGCAGUGGGUACGGGCAGACUAGAGUGCAGUAGGGGAGACUGGAAUUCCUGGUGUAGCGGUGAAAUGCGCAGAUAUCAGGAGGAACACCGAUGGCGAAGGCAGGUCUCUGGGCUGUUUCUGACGCUGAGAAGCGAAAGCAUGGGUAGCGAACAGGAUUAGAUACCCUGGUAGUCCAUGCCGUAAACGUUGGGCACUAGGUGUGGGGAGCGUUCCUCGUUUUCCGCGCCGUAGCUAACGCAUUAAGUGCCCCGCCUGG
This 304-nucleotide ribosomal RNA is filed under the name uncultured bacterium. RNAcentral describes it as "bacterial SSU rRNA". It matches the Rfam family "Bacterial small subunit ribosomal RNA", at positions 575 to 876 of the family's 1533-position model. The record is from RNAcentral.